This 292-nucleotide small RNA is filed under the name Arabidopsis thaliana (thale cress). RNAcentral's name for it is "ATSL006820". Lineage: Eukaryota; Viridiplantae; Streptophyta; Magnoliopsida; Brassicales; Brassicaceae. The record is from RNAcentral.
UAUUUAUGUGCCGUUGCAUAUCUGUUUUUCUUUUCUGGGAAAAUGCUAUAUUAUGGCCAUGUUCGUUUGCUUGUCGCUGGUAACUGAAACCAGCGACAGCGACCAAAAGUUGUUUGUUUGCCUAUCGCUGAUUCAGCGACAAAAAUUAGCGACAGUCGCCAGCGACUGCAAUUUUUAGUCGCUGAAAUUUUUAGCGAUCAGUCGUUGGUUUCAGCGAUUAGUUGCUGCUUUUGGUCGCUGGAUCCAGCGACAUGCAAACGAACAACUUUGCGAUCAAAAAAUAAAAAUUAAA